UGCAGUCGUACGAUGAUGCCUAGCUUGCUGGGUGGAUUAGUGGCGAACGGGUGAGUAACACGUGAGUAACCUGCCCUUGACUCUGGGAUAAGCGCUGGAAACGGCGUCUAAUACCGGAUACGACCUGCCCCGGCAUCGGGUGCGGGUGGAAAGUUUUUCGGUCAAGGAUGGACUCGCGGCCUAUCAGGUAGUUGGUGAGGUAAUGGCUCACCAAGCCGACGACGGGUAGCCGGCCUGAGAGGGUGACCGGCCACACUGGGACUGAGACACGGCCCAGACUCCUACGGGAGGCAGCAGUGGGGAAUAUUGCACAAUGGGCGAAAGCCUGAUGCAGCAACGCCGCGUGGGGGAUGACGGCCUUCGGGUUGUAAACCUCUUUUAGUAGGGAAGAAGGGCUUCGGCUUGACGGUACCUGCAGAAAAAGCACCGGCUAACUACGUGCCAGCAGCCGCGGUAAUACGUAGGGUGCAAGCGUUGUCCGGAAUUAUUGGGCGUAAAGAGCUCGUAGGCGGUUUGUCGCGUCUGCUGUGAAAACCCGAGGCUCAACCUCGGGCCUGCAGUGGGUACGGGCAGACUAGAGUGCGGUAGGGGAGAAUGGAAUUCCUGGUGUAGCGGUGGAAUGCGCAGAUAUCAGGAGGAACACCGAUGGCGAAGGCAGUUCUCUGGGCCGUUACUGACGCUGAGGAGCGAAAGCGUGGGGAGCGAACAGGAUUAGAUACCCUGGUAGUCCACGCCGUAAACGUUGGGAACUAGAUGUGGGGACCUUUCCACGGUCUCCGUGUCGCAGCUAACGCAUUAAGUUCCCCGCCUGGGGAGUACGGCCGCAAGGCUAAAACUCAAAAGGAAUUGACGGGGGCCCGCACAAGCGGCGGAGCAUGCGGAUUAAUUCGAUGCAAC
Molecule: ribosomal RNA, 897 nt
Filed under: Rathayibacter sp.
Lineage: Bacteria; Bacillati; Actinomycetota; Actinomycetes; Micrococcales; Microbacteriaceae
Description: bacterial SSU rRNA
Rfam family: Bacterial small subunit ribosomal RNA
Source: RNAcentral